Long non-coding RNA from Sapajus apella (tufted capuchin), 474 nucleotides. RefSeq lists it as uncharacterized. The record is from RefSeq and is a predicted model, not a curated record. NCBI's taxonomy places the organism in Eukaryota, Metazoa, Chordata, Mammalia, Primates, Cebidae. The transcript has 3 exons.
CACCCACCUCGGCCUCCCAAAGUGCUGGGAUUACAGGUGUGAGCCACCUUGUGCCCCACCUAAAAGUUUUUUUUAAGGGUAAUGUUGAAAGACUUGGCAAAUAGAAAUCAUAUCAUAACAUAUUAACCAGAAAAAUAAGGCUCAGCAGCAGACUAAGGAAAAUAUACACAGUAUAUAUUAUAGAUGAAACAUAGAUAUCUUUUGUUAUUAUCAAUAAAAAUACCCUAAAAGAACUAAUAGGUAUUUCAAUAGACACGAAAGAAAGUGUUUAAUUUUGUUUCCAAAAAGUACAAAUUAGAAAAACAUUAGAAGGAGAAAGAGAAAUGUUAAUAUCUAAUUCAGGUGCAAGUACAGUAAAAGCAGUUCUAACAUAUUGCUGGAGUCCUUAUAGAUUGGUAUAUAGCCCUUUUGUUAAGAAUUUGGGGCCCUGUGAGGUGGAUCACCUGAGGUCAGGAGGUUGAGACUAGCCUGGGC